RNAcentral lists this non-coding RNA (45 nucleotides) under Schistosoma curassoni. Lineage: Eukaryota; Metazoa; Platyhelminthes; Trematoda; Strigeidida; Schistosomatidae. The record is from RNAcentral.
AUCCAGCUGACGUGUCCCAAAUAGGCCGAAACAUACGUCCCGGAU